Molecule: ribosomal RNA, 524 nt
Filed under: uncultured bacterium
Lineage: Bacteria
Description: bacterial SSU rRNA
Rfam family: Bacterial small subunit ribosomal RNA
Source: RNAcentral
AAUAGAUACCCGGGUAGUCCACGCCGUAAACGAUGAGUGCUAAGUGUUGGAGGGUUUCCGCCUUUCAGUGCUGCAGCUAACGCAUUAAGCACUCCGCCUGGGGAGUACGGUCGCAAGACUGAAACUCAAAGGAAUUGACGGGGGCCCGCACAAGCGGUGGAGCAUGUGGUUUAAUUCGAAGCAACGCGAAGAACCUUACCAGGUCUUGACAUCUCCUGACCGCCCUGGAGACAGGGUCUUCCCUUCGGGGACAGGAUGACAGGUGGUGCAUGGUUGUCGUCAGCUCGUGUCGUGAGAUGUUGGGUUAAGUCCCGCAACGAGCGCAACCCUUGGUUCUAGUUGCCAGCAUUGAGUUGGGCACUCUAGAGCGACUGCCGGCGACAAGUCGGAGGAAGGUGGGGAUGACGUCAAAUCAUCAUGCCCCUUAUGACCUGGGCUACACACGUGCUACAAUGGAUGGUACAAAGGGCAGCAAAGCGGCGACGCAUGAGCGAAUCCCAGAAAACCAUUCUCAGUUCGGAUUG